UGGCAGGCAAAUUGCCUACAGGCUUCAUGUUUCUGAUUGUUCUGGUUCUUUUCAUAAGUGUAAAUGUGGAUUAGAUAAUACAAAUUUAAAGUGUUGAAAAGAAGACCUGGGUCUUUAUUUCUCAUGGUCAUUGUUGGUCUUUUCCUUUCUUCAUUCUAGGGUGACCAAGGACAGGCUGGGCCUCCAGGACCUCCAGGCCCCCCUGGCCCAAGAGGGCCUCCAGGGGACACAGGGAAAGAUGGCCCCCGUGGAAUGCCAGGAGUGCCUGGUGAACCAGGGAAACCAGGAGAGCAAGGCUUGAUGGGUCCUCUGGGGCCUCCGGGACAAAAGGGUUCUGUUGGAGUACCUGGAAUUCCAGGAGUGAAUGGUCAAAAGGUA
Molecule: long non-coding RNA, 378 nt
Filed under: Vulpes vulpes (red fox)
Lineage: Eukaryota; Metazoa; Chordata; Mammalia; Carnivora; Canidae
Description: lncRNA (ENSVVUG00000017526.1)
Source: RNAcentral